Molecule: ribosomal RNA, 465 nt
Filed under: Vreelandella stevensii
Lineage: Bacteria; Pseudomonadati; Pseudomonadota; Gammaproteobacteria; Oceanospirillales; Halomonadaceae
Description: partial 16S ribosomal RNA
Rfam family: Bacterial small subunit ribosomal RNA
Source: RNAcentral
CCUACGGGAGGCUGCAGUGGGGAAUAUUGGACAAUGGGGGGAACCCUGAUCCAGCCAUGCCGCGUGUGUGAAGAAGGCCCUCGGGUUGUAAAGCACUUUCAGUGAGGAAGAACGCCUGGUGGUUAAUACCCAUCAGGAAAGACAUCACUCACAGAAGAAGCACCGGCUAACUCCGUGCCAGCAGCCGCGGUAAUACGGAGGGUGCGAGCGUUAAUCGGAAUUACUGGGCGUAAAGCGCGCGUAGGUGGCUUGAUAAGCCGGUUGUGAAAGCCCCGGGCUCAACCUGGGAACGGCAUCCGGAACUGUCAAGCUAGAGUGCAGGGGAGGAAGGUAGAAUUCCCGGUGUAGCGGUGAAAUGCGUAGAGAUCGGGAGGAAUACCAGUGGCGAAGGCGGCCUUCUGGACUGACACUGACACUGAGGUGCGAAAGCGUGGGUAGCAAACAGGAUUAGAUACCCCAGUAGUC